RNAcentral lists this ribosomal RNA (468 nucleotides) under uncultured bacterium. Its description in RNAcentral is "partial 16S ribosomal RNA". It matches the Rfam family "Bacterial small subunit ribosomal RNA", at positions 28 to 507 of the family's 1533-position model. The record is from RNAcentral.
GACGAACGCUGGCGGCGUGCUUAACACAUGCAAGUCGAACGGAAAGGCCCUGCUUUUGUGGGGUGCUCGAGUGGCGAACGGGUGAGUAACACGUGAGUAACCUGCCCUUGACUUUGUGAUAACUUCAGGAAACUGGGGCUAAUACCGGAUAGGAGCUCCUGCUGCAUGGUGUGGGUUGGAAAGUUUCGGCGGUUGGGGAUGGACUCGCGGCUUAUCAGCUUGUUUGGGGGGUAGUGGCUUACCAAGGCUUUGACGGGUAGCCGGCCUGAGAGGGUGACCGGCCACAUUGGGACUGAGAUACGGCCCAGAAUGCUACGGGAGGCAGCAGUGGGGAAUAUUGCACAAUGGGCGGAAGCCUGAUGCAGCAACGCCGCGUGCGGGAUGCCGGCCUUCGGGUUGUAAACCGCUUUCGCAUGUGACGAAGCGUGAGUGACGGUAAUGGGUAAAGAAGCACCGGCUAACUACGUG